This 23-nucleotide microRNA is filed under the name Gadus morhua (Atlantic cod). RNAcentral's name for it is "gmo-miR-92-5p". Its record names the gene gmo-miR-92-5p. The record is from miRBase by way of RNAcentral. Lineage: Eukaryota; Metazoa; Chordata; Actinopteri; Gadiformes; Gadidae.
AGGUUGGGAGAGGUGACAAUGCU